Molecule: non-coding RNA, 30 nt
Filed under: Homo sapiens (human)
Lineage: Eukaryota; Metazoa; Chordata; Mammalia; Primates; Hominidae
Source: RNAcentral
UCCCAAAGUGCCGGGAUCACAGGCUUGUGC